CGAGGUCCUUUAUCUACUUCCCCAGAAUCAGAUGAACUUGUGGAAACAAUUUUUAUGUCUCUGCGUGCAGUUUGAAGGAGGUUGCUAACUAGCGUUAGCGCAAUGACUAGAAGUCUAUGGGAACCUGCUAAUACCCAUACACUUCCAGUCAUUGUGCUAAUGCUAGUUAGCAUUGUCUCACUAAACUACCCCCCCCCCCCCCCCAACUUCCUUCCAUACUGAACACAGAGACAUUAAAGAUGGAAUCCAUGAGUUCAUCUGACUCUGGGUCAGUAGAUACAAUCCUGAAGUAUUCCUUUAAAGAUGGAAUCUACGAGUUCAUCUGACUCUGGGUCAGUAGAUAAACUCCUGAAAUAUUCCUUUAAAGAUGGUAUAGUGUGUUUUGAAAUAAGAACACUUAACCCUCAGAUGGACAAAGAGGUUCCACGUUGGUUUUACUAAGCAUCCAACUUGAUGUUUAUAAUGUUUACAAAAUGGCUUUGAAUUGCUCUGCAGUAUUUUCAGGUAUCAUUAUAAAAGUGCAGCUUUCGGCCCUUUUCAGGGGCAUGUUGAAAGAGUCAGACUAUAGCUGAGUCAUAACCUAUUCAUACUUAUCUGUAAAAAAUAUAUAAUUGGUUUGACUUGAUUAUCUACACAUGGGGCAAUGGGCAGUCAGGAAAAUGGACAUUGAACAAAAUGUUCAGAUAUAAAUGUAUUGUGUAGAUCAAAUAUGACUGUCAGAGAUUGAAAGCAGCCAAUCCAAUAGUUUCAUAAAAUAAGUCACUUCCUGAAAUCUGUAUUCAAAUAUUUUAAAAAAGUAGUCACUUCCUGAAAUCUGUAUUCAAAUAGUUUUAAGAAGUAGUCACUUCCUGAAAUCUGUAUUCAAAUAGUUUUAAGAAGUAGUCACUUCCCGAAAUCUGUAUUCAAAUAGUUUUAAGAAGUAGUCACUUCCCGAAAUCUGUAUUCAAAUAGUUUUAAGAAGUAGUCACUUCCUGAAAUCUGUAUUCAAAUAGUUAAAAAAAAAAAAAUCGCCUCCAAAGUAGCUAUUUGUUUCCCCAAUAAUUCCAAAGCAGUUCAAGGGAAUGGGCUGCCAUUUGGGACAACCAGAGUGGAGUGGAUGGAGCACAGUCAAACCCAGCCCUAAGAGAUUGGACAGGCCGGCACUAAUGGCGAGUGUUCAUUGGUUUGCCUACAAAAACUAAACUGCUGUGAAAUUAACUGUGAUGUAACUACAUUGAAAACGAGCAGAUAAUUUUAAUUUUAAUUACAAAACGGACCCAGAUUUAAUCUGAAUAAAAGACUCAAAAAAAUGUUGUAUCGUUUGUCUGUAAAUCAUUUCUCCGCUCUCAUUUCUGUCUGCAAAUGGUUAGUACGGCAUUCCCUAACCUUUAAGAGGCUACGUCCCAAACCGCACCCCAUUCCCUUUAAAAAGCUACAUCCCAAACGACACCCCAUGGGCCCUGGUCAAUAGUAGUGCACUACACAAGGA
This 1468-nucleotide long non-coding RNA is filed under the name Salmo salar (Atlantic salmon). RNAcentral describes it as "lncRNA (ENSSSAG00000113306.1)". The record is from RNAcentral. Lineage: Eukaryota; Metazoa; Chordata; Actinopteri; Salmoniformes; Salmonidae.